AUGAAAUUUAUGACACGAUUUUUGCCAGUCUCGAUCCCGCCUACAGCUUCUCUGAAACCCCCCUGUACCGGAUCCUGCAGAGGCGGUUUCUGGGAGUGCAGCUGGCCCUCACGGGACGAUUCCGAUGUCCUACCCAGUGUGAGGUGGAGAGACUCGCAGCCACUACCUAUGGGCAUGCCUACGUGCCGUCCUGCGAUGCAGGCGGGGCGUACCGACGGGCGCAAUGCCAACGGGAAGGCCCAUGCUGGUGUGUGGAUGCCAACGGGCGGGAGAUCCACGCAACUCGGAGCCAGGGGGACCGCCCUACUUGUGGUACGUCACGCCAGUCAGUCGGUCAGUCAGUCAAGCAGUCAGUGGUAUGUAGUUAGCACCUGCCACGAACUAGGGAAGGGAAUAAGCCCUAUGGGGAAAUCCAUCCGUAGCAAAGGACACAGCCGGGUCCUGACCUCAUGGAGUCUGUAACCUGACGGGAUCGAGAGCCCGCCGGCUGCCGUGGCAAGAUCUGCUUCCUGCGACUUCAACGUCCGAAAGGAAACGGAUCGGCCGGCCCCAACCUCAUGGGGGUCUCUCUCCUCAAGCCCCGGGGAACAGACCUCCACUCUUCUCCCUCCCCCCCCCCCUCCACCACCCGGGGUGGGUUUCCCCGCUGGUGUUGGUAUGAUGCGUUUGGAGAGCUGGGGCCCGUCUCUUUGCCUGUACGUCCGCCGGCCUGUCUGCCCGUCGGCCCACCCGCGUGGCUCUCUUCCAGCCCGUCUCCCUGUCUGUCUAGAGCACGAGGUGGGGCCGGAGGAGUCACAGGGAACAAACACUGGCCCCGAGGGUAGACUGACCCUCGGCCAAUCCCCUGGGAGAGGAUGGCCCUAUAUAACUGAACUACCAGUCCACCCGGCACCGCCCGCCGCCCCCCUGCGGUCCACCCUAAAGCGGCAGCGGCCCGAGGGUGCGAUGGGCGGUGUGGGCAGUGGGCGCCGACCACCUGACUGAGGCUUCUCACGCUGGGCAGACUGGGCCGGGAGGUGGCGGGCCAGGGGACGGUGGGUCGGGGGGAGCCAGAGGUCGGCGGGAAUCGCGGAGCGCGGCCGAAAGGCGAGGAAAGGGACAACGGGCCAGGGAGGGGCCCCCUCCGUUCGUGCCACGGGCUGGGGGCCCCCGGAGUCCACCGGGGUUUGCAGGGGCGGGUGCUGAGCCACACUAUCUCCCGGUCCAGGCUCAGAGAGGCCGUGUGUUUCCGAGAGGCGGAGGGCCGUGUCCGGACUUCUCUACGGACCCUCCGGACCACUGGGCCGAGGUGGUCCGACCUCCGGUCUGGAAGAACGUGCGCAGCCCCAGGAGGAUGCCCGCCCGGCCGGGUCCUGCCCUCUGACCUUCGAGGAGCUGCUGGUGGGCUCGGAGCAGCUUCCCGAUCCCGAGCGGAGGCCCGACCCCGGGCGGCGGUCCGGCCCCAGUCGGCGCCCCGCCUGGCAGACCGUCCUCGGCGAGUUGGUGAGGGGGCUGUUCCCCACCCGGGAGCUGGCCCUCACGGCCCUCCGACUGGCCCGUGGCCCACGGCGGCUCCAGCGGGACCUGUUCGGGGGGAUGUUCCUGACCCGGCUGGGGCACCGGAACCUGUCAGGGGCAGUGGGUCCCCGGAGCACGGCGGACCUCAGCCGGUUCUUCCAGCCUCGGGGGGCACGGGGACCGGCCGGCCUGCCGCCUGACGGGGACGGCGUGGGACGUCUGGACACCCUGCUGACCCGCCCGGACUUCCUGCCCUUCCUGCGGCGCGUGGCGGCCGUUCCCUCCCCCCUUGCCCGGGACCUCGGCGAGGCGGUCCGCACGGUCCUUGAGGCCCAAGGCU
This 1837-nucleotide long non-coding RNA is filed under the name Ornithorhynchus anatinus (platypus). RNAcentral's name for it is "lncRNA (ENSOANG00000050288.1)". The record is from RNAcentral. Lineage: Eukaryota; Metazoa; Chordata; Mammalia; Monotremata; Ornithorhynchidae.